RNAcentral lists this ribosomal RNA (301 nucleotides) under uncultured bacterium. RNAcentral describes it as "partial 16S ribosomal RNA". It matches the Rfam family "Bacterial small subunit ribosomal RNA", at positions 509 to 807 of the family's 1533-position model. The record is from RNAcentral.
CAGCCGCCGCGGGAAUACAUAGGUGGAAAGCGUUGUCCGGAAUUAUUGGGCGUAAAGGGCUCGCAGGCGGUUUCUUAAGUCUGAUGUGAAAGCCCCCGGCUCAACCGGGGAGGGUCAUUGGAAACUGGGAAACUUGAGUGCAGAAGAGGAGAGUGGAAUUCCACGUGUAGCGGCGAAAUGCGUAGAGAUGUGGAGGAACACCAGUGGCGAAGGCGACUCUCUGGUCUGUAACUGACGCUGAGGAGCGGAAGCGUGGGGAGCGAACAGGAUUAGAUACCCGAGUAGUCCCUGUCUCUUAUAC